CAGGUGGGCCGCUCUAUCGCUCUCUGAAAAGAGGGAGGAAAGUCCGGACAGGGCAGAGCAAGGCUCUGUGGAAAUCACAGCUGGGGGUAACCUUAGGCAAAUCGUAACAGAAAAUUACCGCCUUGAGAAAGGUAAGGGUGAAAACGCGGGGUAAGAGCCCACGAUGAUUUAUGGCAACAUGGGUCAGGUACGACCAGCCUCCUGCAAGGCCAUGUAUACCAGUUUUAAAGGCUGCUCGUCUUAUGCUGGGGGGUAGGCUGCAUCAGAUAAAUGAUAGAGACCUCAUUGAGGUACAGAAUCCGGCUUACAGGCCCACCUUUUUU
This 323-nucleotide RNase P RNA is filed under the name Bacteroidales bacterium CF. Its description in RNAcentral is "Bacterial RNase P class A". It matches the Rfam family "Bacterial RNase P class A". Rfam says of the family: Ribonuclease P (RNase P) is a ubiquitous endoribonuclease, found in archaea, bacteria and eukarya as well as chloroplasts and mitochondria. Its best characterised activity is the generation of mature 5'-ends of tRNAs by cleaving the 5'-leader elements of precursor-tRNAs. The record is from Rfam by way of RNAcentral. Lineage: Bacteria; Pseudomonadati; Bacteroidota; Bacteroidia; Bacteroidales. RNAcentral also lists the same sequence under 1 other name.